CCUACGGGUGGCAGCAGUGAGGAAUAUUGGUCAAUGGGCGGGAGCCUGAACCAGCCAAGUCGCGUGAGGGACGACGGUCCUAUGGAUUGUAAACCUCUUGUGUCGGAGAACAAAGGCGCCCACGGGUGGGCGGAUGAGUGUACCCGAAGAAAAAGCAACGGCUAACACCGGGCCAGCAGCCGCGGAAAUACGGAGGAUGCGAGAGUUAGCCGGAUUUAUUGGGUUUAAAGGGUGCGUAGGCGGACGGUCAAGUCAGCGGUAAAAAUGCGGUGCUCAACGCCGUACAGCCGUUGAAACUGGCAGUCUUGAGUGGGCGAGAAGUAUGCAGAAUGCGUGGUGUAGCGGUGAAAUGCAUAGAUAGCACGCAGAACUCCGAUUGCGAAGGCAGCAUACCGGCGCCCUACUGACGCUGAGGCACGAAAGCGUGGGUAUCGAACAGGAUUAGAUACCCUUGUAGUC
This 459-nucleotide ribosomal RNA is filed under the name uncultured bacterium. RNAcentral's name for it is "partial 16S ribosomal RNA". It matches the Rfam family "Bacterial small subunit ribosomal RNA", at positions 338 to 795 of the family's 1533-position model. The record is from RNAcentral.